GAUGAACGCUGGCGGCGUGCCUAAUACAUGCAAGUCGAGCGAACAGAUGAGGAGCUUGCUCCUCUGACGUUAGCGGCGGACGGGUGAGUAACACGUGGAUAACCUACCUAUAAGACUGGGAUAACUUCGGGAAACCGGAGCUAAUACCGGAUAAUAUAUUGAACCUCAUGGUUCAAUAGUGAAAGACGGUUUUGCUGUCACUUAUAGAUGGAUCCGCGCCGCAUUAGCUAGUUGGUAAGGUAACGGCUUACCAAGGCGACGAUGCGUAGCCGACCUGAGAGGGUGAUCGGCCACACUGGAACUGAGACACGGUCCAGACUCCUACGGGAGGCAGCAGUAGGGAAUCUUCCGCAAUGGGCGAAAGCCUGACGGAGCAACGCCGCGUGAGUGAUGAAGGUCUUCGGAUCGUAAAACUCUGUUAUUAGGGAAGAACAAAUGUGUAAGUAACUAUGCACGUCUUGACGGUACCUAAUCAGAAAGCCACGGCUAACUACGUG
RNAcentral lists this ribosomal RNA (497 nucleotides) under uncultured bacterium. RNAcentral describes it as "partial 16S ribosomal RNA". It matches the Rfam family "Bacterial small subunit ribosomal RNA", at positions 28 to 507 of the family's 1533-position model. The record is from RNAcentral.